CAGUAGCCGCGGUAAUACAGAGGGUGCGAGCGUUAAUCGGAUUUACUGGGCGUAAAGCGUGCGUAGGCGGCUUCUUAAGUCGGAUGUGAAAUCCCUGAUCUUAACUUAGGAAUUGCAUUCGAUACUGGGAAGCUAGAGUAUGGGAGAGGAUGGUAGAAUUCCAGGUGUAGCGGUGAAAUGCGUAGAGAUCUGGAGGAAUACCGAUGGCGAAGGCAGCCAUCUGGCCUAAUACUGACGCUGAGGUACGAAAGCAUGGGGAGCAAACAGGAUUAGAUACCCGGGUAGUCCCUGUCUCUUAUAC
Molecule: ribosomal RNA, 301 nt
Filed under: uncultured bacterium
Lineage: Bacteria
Description: partial 16S ribosomal RNA
Rfam family: Bacterial small subunit ribosomal RNA
Source: RNAcentral